UCAACAGAAGAAGCACCGGCUAACUACGUGCCAGCAGCCGCGGUAAUACGUAGGGUGCAAGCGUUAAUCGGAAUUACUGGGCGUAAAGGGUGCGCAGGCGGUUCUGUAAGUCAGAUGUGAAAUCCCCGGGGCUUAACCUGGGAACUGCGUUUGAAACUGCAGAGCUAGAGUGCAGCAGAGGGAGGUGGAAUUCCAUGUGUAGCAGUGAAAUGCGUAGAGAUAUGGAAGAACAUCGAUGGCGAAGGCAACCUCCUGGGCUAGCACUGACGCUCAUGCACGAAAGCGUGGGGAGCAAACAGGAUUAGAUACCCUGGUAGUCCACGCCCUAAAACUAUGUCAACUAGUUGUCGGGUCUUAUUAGACUUGGUAACGUAGCUAACGCGUGAAGUUGACCGCCUGGGGAGUACGGUCGCAAGAUUAAAACUC
Molecule: ribosomal RNA, 426 nt
Filed under: uncultured bacterium
Lineage: Bacteria
Description: bacterial SSU rRNA
Rfam family: Bacterial small subunit ribosomal RNA
Source: RNAcentral